Molecule: ribosomal RNA, 553 nt
Filed under: uncultured bacterium
Lineage: Bacteria
Description: bacterial SSU rRNA
Rfam family: Bacterial small subunit ribosomal RNA
Source: RNAcentral
UAGGGAAUUCCUUCGGCAAAUGGGGGCAACCCUGACCGAGCAACGCCGCGUGAGUGAAGAAGGUUUUCGGAUCGUAAAGCUCUGUUGUAAGUCAAGAACGAGUGUGAGAGUGGAAAGUUCACACUGUGACGGUAGCUUACCAGAAAGGGACGGCUAACUACGUGCCAGCAGCCGCGGUAAUACGUAGGUCCCGAGCGUUGUCCGGAUUUAUUGGGCGUAAAGCGAGCGCAGGCGGUUUGAUAAGUCUGAAGUUAAAGGCUGUGGCUCAACCAUAGUUCGCUUUGGAAACUGUCAAACUUGAGUGCAGAAGGGGAGCAAAGGGAUACUUUUUUNGCGGGGAAAUGCGUAAAAUAUAUGGAGGAAACACCGGGGGGCAAAAGCGGCUCUCUGGUCUGUAACUGACGCUGAGGCUCAAAAGCGUGGGGAGAAACAGGAUUAUAUACCCUGGUAUUCCCCCCGUAACGAUGAGUGCUAGGUGUUGGAUCCUUUCCGGGAUUCAGUGCCGCAGCUAACGCAUUAACACUCCGCCUGGNGAAUACAACCGCAGGGUUGA